Non-coding RNA from Paramuricea clavata, 400 nucleotides. NCBI's taxonomy places the organism in Eukaryota, Metazoa, Cnidaria, Anthozoa, Malacalcyonacea, Plexauridae. The record is from the annotation of a GenBank genome assembly.
CGUUAUUAAAGCCUUAAGGGUUUUGAUUAUUCAAACUGAAAAUAUUCAGAUUCCAAACCAAUAAUCAAUAUAACCAAGUAUCAUUCAGCAUGUCAGCACGUCAAUAUCGGUUAUAUCGCAUCUGUUUGACUGUUUCAUUUUCCAAAUAUAGAUAUAAUGAAACAUAAUAGUAAUACUUCUCGUGUUCUGGAAGUGUCUUUGUUUGUAAUAUGAAACGAGGAUAAAAUCAUUGACGUUCCGGUCGGUUCUGACGAAGAUCAGUGUGUAAGCAUGGCUGGUGUAAGAGUUCUAUUAUCGUUUAGUCUUCUAUGUUUGACAUUACAUUUUAUAGUCAACCGAACAGAUGCUUCCAGGAAGGUGAGUAAUAAUUUAUAUAACGAAAUACUUCGUUAUUUGCUUC